GUCAGGGUAAAAACGCGGGUUUUCUCUAUAUCAGAGAGGUGUAGACUUCCUGCACACAAAUAUAUAUCAUUACCUUUAAUCCAUGCUAAAGGGGUUUAUCGUUUACAAUUUUUACGCAGACGCAUUUGGGUGAAAUUACGCACGGUUUUGGGUGAUGAAGCUGGUUAAAGUUGUAUUGGUUGUGCUGCUUCUGACAAAUGUUUACUGUCAAGAAAUGGAUGUUGACAACUGGAGGGACAGAGUCGGAGAGGACAAAUGGCCAAACUCUGGAGUGGUUCAAGAUAUGUUAGUGAGACUGACCAGAAAGCCAGGACCGCGCCAGUAUCUCGGACUCAUGGGGAAGAGAGAUUACGCAAAAACGCAGACAGCACGUAAACGACAUAAAUUCCAAACCUUCGUGGGUCUGAUGGGUAAAAGAAGCUUUGAGGAUCAAGGAGCCCAGUGAGCUGCACAGAUGAUCUGAAGAUCUACAUUUGUUUUCUUUGUUUCAUUUCAGAACAAAAAAUAUAUUUUGUUUAGUCUGUCUGUCAUUGUUUCAUUAAAAAUGUGAUAUACAACAGUGGAUUGUGACACAGCUGCCAACACUGAGAAGCUUCAGACCAACAGCGCUGUCUAGUGUUAAAAUAAAAUGAUGGAAAAUGCAUCACUGAAGCAUACCCAACAGUGAUAUUUGAAUGUAAAAACAGUGUUAUGUAAAAAUAAAAGUGUCCACACCAGUUUCCAU
Non-coding RNA from Epinephelus lanceolatus (giant grouper), 724 nucleotides. NCBI's taxonomy places the organism in Eukaryota, Metazoa, Chordata, Actinopteri, Perciformes, Serranidae. The record is from RefSeq and is a predicted model, not a curated record.